UUUACCAAUGGUAUAAGGAUUCAGUUUAGC
Molecule: non-coding RNA, 30 nt
Filed under: Mus musculus (house mouse)
Lineage: Eukaryota; Metazoa; Chordata; Mammalia; Rodentia; Muridae
Source: RNAcentral